GGAGUCUUUGACUUAAUUUGACUCAACACGGGAAACCUCUCCAUGACUGGACGUUGAAAGGCUUUACAGAUGGCUCUUUCUCAAUAAUGUGGUUGGUGGUGCAUGGCUCCUCUUAGUUGGUAACCUGAUUUCUCUGGGUAAGUCCUCUGUGCUUACUAGUGUGACCUGUGACAACUGGUGUCCAACAUCUUAGAGCAGCGGUUCUUAACCUGUGGGUUGGGACCCCUUUGGGGGUCGAACAACCCUUUCACAGGGGUUGCCUAAGACCAUCGGAAAACACAUAUUUCCGAUGGUCUUAGGAAUAAUUUUAUGGUUGGGGGUCACCACAACAUGAGGAACUGUAUUAAAGGGUUGCGGCAUUAGGAAGGUUGGGAACCACUGUCUUAGAUGGACAAGUGGCAUUCAGCUCAUGAGAUUGAGCACUAACAGUUCUGUGAUGUCCUUGGAUACCUAUUGCUGCGUUUGCUAC
Molecule: non-coding RNA, 469 nt
Filed under: Xenopus tropicalis (tropical clawed frog)
Lineage: Eukaryota; Metazoa; Chordata; Amphibia; Anura; Pipidae
Description: Xenopus (Silurana) tropicalis (western clawed frog) Eukaryotic small subunit ribosomal RNA
Rfam family: Eukaryotic small subunit ribosomal RNA
Source: Rfam by way of RNAcentral